Molecule: ribosomal RNA, 705 nt
Filed under: Kocuria rhizophila
Lineage: Bacteria; Bacillati; Actinomycetota; Actinomycetes; Micrococcales; Micrococcaceae
Description: bacterial SSU rRNA
Rfam family: Bacterial small subunit ribosomal RNA
Source: RNAcentral
UAGCAGUCGACGCUGAAGCUUGGUGCUUGCACUGGGUGGAUGAGUGGCGAACGGGUGAGUAAUACGUGAGUAACCUGCCCUUGACUCUGGGAUAAGCCUGGGAAACUGGGUCUAAUACUGGAUACGACAUGUCACCGCAUGGUGGUGUGUGGAAAGGGUUCUACUGGUUUUGGAUGGGCUCACGGCCUAUCAGCUUGUUGGUGGGGUAAUGGCUCACCAAGGCGACGACGGGUAGCCGGCCUGAGAGGGUGACCGGCCACACUGGGACUGAGACACGGCCCAGACUCCUACGGGAGGCAGCAGUGGGGAAUAUUGCACAAUGGGCGAAAGCCUGAUGCAGCGACGCCGCGUGAGGGAUGACGGCCUUCGGGUUGUAAACCUCUUUCAGCACGGAAGAAGCGAAAGUGACGGUACGUGCAGAAGAAGCGCCGGCUAACUACGUGCCAGCAGCCGCGGUAAUACGUAGGGCGCAAGCGUUGUCCGGAAUUAUUGGGCGUAAAGAGCUCGUAGGCGGUUUGUCGCGUCUGCUGUGAAAGCCCGGGGCUUAACCCCGGGUGUGCAGUGGGUACGGGCAGACUUGAGUGCAGUAGGGGAGACUGGAAUUCCUGGUGUAGCGGUGAAAUGCGCAGAUAUCAGGAGGAACACCGAUGGCGAAGGCAGGUCUCUGGGCUGUUACUGACGCUGAGGAGCGAAAGCAUGGGGAGC